Gallus gallus (chicken) is the source of this 957-nucleotide long non-coding RNA. The record is from Ensembl. NCBI's taxonomy places the organism in Eukaryota, Metazoa, Chordata, Aves, Galliformes, Phasianidae.
UCCUCCUCAGACUGCAGCAGAGUGUCCCUUCAGGCAGUGGUUCACUGCAGACCUGUCUGACUUCUUGCAACUGCAGUUAGUUUAGACUAAGAAUUGGAAUAUCUUCAUCAGUACAAUUCACUUGGGUAGUUGCUCUCCUCAACUGUGAUGAGAGUCCACAUAAGUCAGACUGUACAGACAGACUGGAAUUGUAGGAUGGAAUAUUACCUUACCUUCUGACAAUGGAUCACUGUCCAGAAGAGCUACUAGAACAAAACCUUAUGUCACAGGCUUCUUUUCAUCUGUUUUAAGGUAAAACAAGAUCCCAAGAACUUGGCCAACUGAUGUCUGAAGAGGACUUAAAUGCCAGUUUGCAGAUCCAAAACACCCAGUGACUUCACUGUGCCCUCGUGUAAAUGUUGAUAAGUGAGGUGUAACUAUUUACAAACUGGAAAAUUGAGAAACCGGUCUGAAGAGUCCUAUAGGCAAUAGGGAAAUGGCCUUCUGGCUUAUGAAAUUAAUGAACAAGCAGAAUGAUUUGUGAAAAACAACUGUUUUAUAGGACCACCACCUGCAGUAUGGGCUGACUCCCACAAUGUGGAAGAAAUCCAGAACAUCAUUUCAGAUUAAUUUCUUGACAUCUCAACUUUGUCCUGCACCCCAUCCACCAACACAGAACAUACUCAAGAGUAACAAAGAUAUUUCUGGUGACACACUGCAGCCAUGGGAAAUUGGAAUGCAAGUCAUGCCAUAUCUACUGACAGCUCAUAAAGUACUCCACAGCAGUGCAGAAGAUGUAUUUUCUAUGCCUGAAGAUCAUGUUAGCUUGGUCCGGGUUUUGCUAAAUAGUACUGAACUUUUGGCUGUUUAUUCCCAACUCUGUGAUGUCAGCUGGCCUCCCUGGAAGCCAGACUCCAAUUGCGGCAACCAUUCUGUACACGCACAUUGCAUGGAAAGAGUUACCUAGUAAUAAAAAAC